AUCAAUUAAGAAUUUCGGAAACGGAUAGGCUCGCGUGACAUUAGCUAGAUGGCGGGGUAACGGCCCACCAUGGCGACGAUGUCUAGGGGUUCUGAGAGGAAGGUCCCCCACACUGGAACUGAGACACGGUCCAGACUCCUACGGGAGGCAGCAGUGAGGAAUAUUGGUCAAUGGUCUGACGACUGAACCAGCCCAUGCCGCGUGAAGGUGACAGCCCUAUGGGUCUUAAACUUCUUUUGUAAGGGAGCAAUAAGGUCUACGUGUAGGCUGAUGAGAGUACCUUACGAAUAAGCAUCGGCUAACUCCGUG
Molecule: ribosomal RNA, 309 nt
Filed under: uncultured bacterium
Lineage: Bacteria
Description: bacterial SSU rRNA
Rfam family: Bacterial small subunit ribosomal RNA
Source: RNAcentral